RNAcentral lists this ribosomal RNA (477 nucleotides) under uncultured bacterium. RNAcentral's name for it is "partial 16S ribosomal RNA". It matches the Rfam family "Bacterial small subunit ribosomal RNA", at positions 30 to 507 of the family's 1533-position model. The record is from RNAcentral.
AUUGAACGCUGGCGGCAUGCCUUACACAUGCAAGUCGAACGGUAACAGGUUAAGCUGACGAGUGGCGAACGGGUGAGUAAUGUAUCGGAACGUGCCCAGUCGUGGGGGAUAACUGCUCGAAAGAGCAGCUAAUACCGCAUACGACCUGAGGGUGAAAGCGGGGGAUCGCAAGACCUCGCGCGAUUGGAGCGGCCGAUAUCAGAUUAGGUAGUUGGUGAGGUAAAGGCUCACCAAGCCGACGAUCUGUAGCUGGUCUGAGAGGACGACCAGCCACACUGGGACUGAGACACGGCCCAGACUCCUACGGGAGGCAGCAGUGGGGAAUUUUGGACAAUGGGCGCAAGCCUGAUCCAGCCAUGCCGCGUGCGGGAAGAAGGCCUUCGGGUUGUAAACCGCUUUUGUCUGGGAAGAAAAGGUUCUGGCUAAUACCUGGGACUCAUGACGGUACCUGAAGAAUAAGCACCGGCUAACUACGUG